This 1095-nucleotide long non-coding RNA is filed under the name Gallus gallus (chicken). The record is from RNAcentral. Lineage: Eukaryota; Metazoa; Chordata; Aves; Galliformes; Phasianidae.
AAAGGAUUCCUCAAAGGAACGCACUUGCUCUAAGCAGCUUCUCAGAGGGAAAUAUUUCUGUGUCUUUUACCCAUCUUUUCGGUUUCUUCACAAUGUCUCCUUCACCUUACAGUUGCACAGCAGAAGUGCAACUUGAAUUAGCAGCCAGCAUCAGCUCCAGCAAUCUGCUCCUGACAGAAGCUAGUGCUGGAGAAAAAAAAUCAAGAAAUUACCUUACUGGCAACAAAGAAAUGUCAGGUUUAAAAGAAAACUGUUACACAGAGAAAUCACUUAAACUGUGAGGAAAUUGAUAAAAGAAAAAUGUCUACUGAGGAAGAACGAGGACCUUAUAAUGUGACAUGCUCAGAAAGUCACUUACAUGACUUCUGAUGUACAUUUGUCCCAGUUGAACAGAACAAGGCUCUUUCUUCAAACAAGGAGCAAAAAAGCUACAUUGCACUGAUUGGAAAAAACAAAUCUUAUUUUCCAUGUCUGUGCCCUGAACAAAAAAAGAAGUAGAUGAAAGGAUGGUGUUGUAACAGAUCAGGCUUCAUACCACAUCAGAGUUUAUCAAGAAAAUGACAUACAGACAUAAUAGUUGCAGGAUAGCAACUCAUAGGUCAAGAAAAAACAGAAAGGUAAUUUCAUUUGCUCCAGAUCUCCAGAAAGUCUUUAAGAAUUGGUAAGAACCUGGUGGCAGCAAACCACCAGACAUACUUGUUUGUCAAGGAACAAAGCUCUCAUAAUAUGAUGGGCAAUGUCACAAAAAAGCAUGAAAUUCUUAUGUAGAAUGAAUUAGUCUUCAAAAGAGGCAGGCAUCUGAUCAAACAUCUAAUUGUUAAUCAGUUGUCAAGCAAUUUCACUACUCCUACUAAAUUCAAAAUCAUAUUAUGACUAAUUUCAGCCACAUACCAUCUGCAAAGCAGCCUGAAUACUUUGCUUCCAUUCUGGCCUGUACACUAACAACAGAUAAUUAUUAAACGGCGUAAUGACCUGCUAAGAAUACUGUGGAAAACCCGCUGUAGUACUGGUUUAUUGGAAUUCAUUAGAGAAUGAUAUUUGAAAUCAGCUGGGUUACUAACACUAGCCAAAUAUCUGGUUUUAUGUGUGGGCUUA